UCCCGUUUAGCUCAGCUGGUAGAGCGCGUCACUAGUACUUGCAUAUCGCAUCCGCUAAUGACGAGGUCAGUCGUUCAAGUCGGCUAAUGGGAA
Molecule: non-coding RNA, 93 nt
Organism: Dentipellis sp. KUC8613
Lineage: Eukaryota; Fungi; Basidiomycota; Agaricomycetes; Russulales; Hericiaceae
Source: the annotation of a GenBank genome assembly